RNAcentral lists this ribosomal RNA (246 nucleotides) under uncultured bacterium. RNAcentral's name for it is "partial 16S ribosomal RNA". It matches the Rfam family "Bacterial small subunit ribosomal RNA", at positions 526 to 771 of the family's 1533-position model. The record is from RNAcentral.
CGUAGGGUGCGAGCGUUAAUCGGAAUUACUGGGCGUAAAGCGUGCGCAGGCGGCUCUGUAAGACAGAUGUGAAAUCCCCGGGCUCAACCUGGGAACUGCAUUUGUGACUGCAAGGCUAGAGUGCGUCAGAGGGAGGUGGAAUUCCGCGUGUAGCAGUGAAAUGCGUAGAGAUGCGGAGGAACACCGAUGGCGAAGGCAGCCUCCUGGGAUGACACUGACGCUCAUGCACGAAAGCGUGGGGAGCAA